CAAGGGAGCUGCAGAAGCGGCUGAGAGGAAGGAAACUUCGACCUUUUGAACCUGGAGCGGAUAAUGCCGGCGCAGGGAGAUGCAUAGA
RNAcentral lists this non-coding RNA (88 nucleotides) under uncultured Bulleidia sp. Lineage: Bacteria; Bacillati; Bacillota; Erysipelotrichia; Erysipelotrichales; Erysipelotrichaceae. The record is from RNAcentral.